Molecule: ribosomal RNA, 453 nt
Filed under: uncultured bacterium
Lineage: Bacteria
Description: partial 16S ribosomal RNA
Rfam family: Bacterial small subunit ribosomal RNA
Source: RNAcentral
UGGGGAAUAUUGCACAAUGGGCGAAAGCCUGAUGCAGCAACGCCGCGUGAGGGACGACGGCCUUCGGGUUGUAAACCUCUUUUAGCAAGGAAGAAGCGAAAGUGACGGUACUUGCAGAAAAAGCGCCGGCUAACUACGUGCCAGCAGCCGCGGUAAUACGUAGGGCGCAAGCGUUAUCCGGAAUUAUUGGGCGUAAAGAGCUCGUAGGCGGUUUGUCGCGUCUGCUGUGAAAACCCGAGGCUCAACCUCGGGCCUGCAGUGGGUACGGGCAGACUAGAGUGCGGUAGGGGAGAUUGGAACUCCUGGUGUAGCGGUGGAAUACGCAGAUAUCAGGAAGAACACCGAUGGCGAAGGCAGAUCUCUGGGCCGUAACUGACGCUGAGGAGCGAAAAGGGGUGGGGAGCAAAACAGGCUUGAGAUAACCCUGGUAGUCCACCCCGUAAACGUUGGGAA